This 563-nucleotide ribosomal RNA is filed under the name uncultured Nectria. RNAcentral's name for it is "eukaryotic LSU rRNA". It matches the Rfam family "Eukaryotic large subunit ribosomal RNA", at positions 62 to 648 of the family's 3401-position model. The record is from RNAcentral. Lineage: Eukaryota; Fungi; Ascomycota; Sordariomycetes; Hypocreales; Nectriaceae.
AAACCAACAGGGAUUGCCCCAGUAACGGCGAGUGAAGCGGCAGCAGCUCAAAUUUGAAAUCUGGCUCUCGGGCCCGAGUUGUAAUUUGUAGAGGAUGCUUUUGGUGAGGUGCCUUCCGAGUUCCCUGGAACGGGACGCCAUAGAGGGUGAGAGCCCCGUCUGGUUGGACGCCGAACCUCUGUAAAGCUCCUUCGACGAGUCGAGUAGUUUGGGAAUGCUGCUCUAAAUGGGAGGUAUAUGUCUUCUAAAGCUAAAUACCGGCCAGAGACCGAUAGCGCACAAGUAGAGUGAUCGAAAGAUGAAAAGAACUUUGAAAAGAGAGUUAAACAGUACGUGAAAUUGUUGAAAGGGAAGCGCUUGUGACCAGACUUGGGCUUGGUUGAUCAUCCGGGGUUCUCCCCGGUGCACUCUUCCGGCCCAGGCCAGCAUCAGUUCGCCCUGGGGGACAAAGGCAUCGGGAACGUGGCUCUCUCCGGGGAGUGUUAUAGCCCGUUGCGUAAUACCCUGCGGCGGACUGAGGUUCGCGCAUUCGCAAGGAUGCUGGCGUAAUGGUCAUCAGUGAC